RNAcentral lists this ribosomal RNA (622 nucleotides) under uncultured archaeon. Its description in RNAcentral is "bacterial SSU rRNA". It matches the Rfam family "Archaeal small subunit ribosomal RNA", at positions 1 to 611 of the family's 1478-position model. The record is from RNAcentral.
UCCGGUUGAUCCUGCCAGAGGCCGCUGCUAUCCGGCUGGGACUAAGCCAUGCUAGUCUAGGGGCUUGUACUCCUUCGGGGGUGCAAGCACCGGCGGACGGCUCAGUAACACGUGGACAACCUGCCCUCGGGUGGGGGAUAACCCCGGGAAACUGGGGCUAAUCCCCCAUAGGUGAUGGGUGCUGGAAUGCCCCAUCUCCGAAAGCGCUUAGCGCCCGAGGAUGGGUCUGCGGCGGAUUAGGUAGUUGGUGGGGUAACGGCCCACCAAGCCUAAGAUCCGUACGGGCUGUGGGAGCAGGAGCCCGGAGAUGGACCCUGAGACAAGGGUCCAGGCCCUACGGGGCGCAGCAGGCGCGAAACCUCCGCAAUGCGGGAAACCGCGACGGGGUUAGCCGGAGUGCCCGUGCAUUGCACGGGCUGUCGGGGUGCCUAAACAGCACCCCAUAGCAAGGGCCGGGCAAGGCCGGUGGCAGCCGCCGCGGUAAGACCGGCGGCCCGAGUGGCGGCCACUCUUAUUGGGCCUAAAGCGUCCGUAGCCGGCCCAGUAAGUCCCCCGGGAAAUCUGGUCGCUUAACGAUCAGACUUCCGGGGGAUACUGCUGGGCUAGGGACCGGGAGAGGCCG